Long non-coding RNA from Saccostrea echinata, 1077 nucleotides. RefSeq lists it as uncharacterized. The transcript is spliced from 6 exons. NCBI's taxonomy places the organism in Eukaryota, Metazoa, Mollusca, Bivalvia, Ostreida, Ostreidae. The record is from RefSeq and is a predicted model, not a curated record.
AAGCAAUUUCCUGGAUGGUGUGUAAGUCUAGAUCUGUUUGUCAACAUGUGAAAUCUACAUGUAUUUCGGGGAGUAGUCUCCCCUGUUACAGAUCAAUAAUGGUGGAUAUACAAUGUGGGAUGCAGUCUGGUCAUCAAGAGAGAGUUUUGACACCCGUAUACCUGUAUUUCUACCAAUCACCUCCGUAACCUUUGUUGUGUUCAUCAGACAGAUGAUGGACCACUCUACUUCCUUUUACAACAGGUGCCCCUGCAGAUUCACGAAGUUCCAAUGUUGAGUUUCCAUGACCCCUAUUCAUCCACGACAGGAAAAGGAAUAAAGUUGACAGGACUUCCCACACUGUCCUUUGUAGCAACUUACGAUGGAACUGACAGCAGUAGACAUAGCCCGCUUCAUCAAAGAUUCACCAGAUGCAGCGGCACUUUCUCCAUCACUGGUGAAAUGGGAAAUGACUAGGGGAUGGUCAUCACUUUGUAACUCACCAAUACAUUUUGCAGUCCAUCACUUCUCAUCUCCAGUGGUGGUCUCUGGAGGAAUGGUUGCAGUGCAGUCUUUGUGUCCUUGGCAGGCAACUUCAUUCCUUUGCUUUGCUUCUUAGCUUGAAGCCUUGCUUAUGAUUUGUCCUUGUACCCACAAUUCUCUGCCAAAAACAGCCAAUGCAAUGAACAAUCAAAUGCAGGGUUGACAAGGAUUAAAGAUCAACUUUCCUAUAUGACAGCAAAUAGUUUCAUGAUGCAUUGUAUAUUUUACUUGUGGAACAAGAAUUUGUUAAUCAUCAAUUUAAGAAAAGAGCACAAUUUUCACACUCCUGUGAGAAGAGAAAUAUAAUUAAGUAUUGAAUGAGUAUAUGUUUGAAUUUUUUGUCAAGCAUGUGAUAUUUACGAAUUGAAAUGAGAAACUUUCAAUAAUAGAAUUGUUUACUAGCAGUGUAGAUUAUUACUGUUAUUAGGUCACCCGAAUCACUCUUGUCAAUGUUGUGUUAACAUACUGACAUUUUGAGCUGCUUUUUUGAAACCGCUCUGGCAGUUUUAACCAAUUUUGGCAUAAGGCAUCAAUGGGUGAAGGGGAACAAAAAUU